Molecule: long non-coding RNA, 758 nt
Organism: Drosophila sechellia
Lineage: Eukaryota; Metazoa; Arthropoda; Insecta; Diptera; Drosophilidae
Exons: 2
Source: RefSeq, a predicted model, not a curated record
CGGACUAUCAGAUACCCGUUACUCAGCUAGUGGGAAUGCUAACGCAAAUUCAUAACUUUUCUGAUUUGAUAUCAAAAGGUGAAAGGAGGGGCGUGGGCACAGUGUUUUUGGUAUACCGAUACAGUUGACAAGACAAAUAAUAAAACGAAGAAAAAUCUAUACAGUUUUAGUUCUGGGCGGUUCUGGGCGGCUUGUGGGCGUUAGAGUGGGCGUGGCAGUAUGGAUCAACAAACUUGCGUUGCGUCUAUGUCUCUAGAAUCUGUGUGCCUAAUAUAAACCUUCUGGCCUUUAAAGUUCGUGAGAUCAAGGCGUUCAUACGGACGGACGAACAGAAGGAUAUGGUCAGAUCGACUGGACUAUUGAUCCUGAUCAAUUAUAUAUACACUUCCUUCUGCCUGUUACAUACUUUUACACGAAUCUAGUAUACCCUUUCACUCCACGAGUAACGGGUAUAACAAAGGAGACUGCUAUAGUCGACAGCAAGAUAUUUAAACAUUUUACAUGUGAACACUGUGUUCUGCAAUGGCGUUAUGUUGCAGGCAAUAAUUGGGGUAUGUGUAGCAAUGGUAUAGGAGCUAUUGGAUGUGGUCCACAAGAAGAAUUUCGUUCGUGCUCUGAUAUUGCCUUAACUACAGAAUAUUUGCACCCAUAUCUAGGUCCUAUUAGCGCACCACCUACACAAUCUAAUGGAAUGCCUGCGAACACGACACAUAAUUCUGUUAAUACACAAAGUGACAAAUUAAAGUAUAUUUUCAUCA